AGAGUUUGAUCCUGGCUCAGGAUGAACGCUAGCGGCAGGCUUAAUACAUGCAAGUCGAGGGGUAACAGGGGUAGCAAUACCUGCUGACGACCGGCAAACGGGUGCGGAACACGUACGCAACCUUCCCAAAACUGGUGAAUAGCCCUCCGAAAGGAGGAUUAAUACACCGUAACAUAUAGAAGUGGCAUCACUUUAUUAUUAUAACUCCGGCGGUUUUGGAUGGGCGUGCGGCUGAUUAGGUAGUUGGCGGGGUAACGGCCCACCAAGCCUGCGAUCAGUAACUGGUGUGAGAGCACGACCAGUCACACGGGCACUGAGACACGGGCCCGACUCCUACGGGAGGCAGCAGUAAGGAAUAUUGGUCAAUGGACGAAAGUCUGAACCAGCCAUGCCGCGUGAAGGAUGAAGGUCCUCUGGAUUGUAAACUUCUUUUAUAGGGGACGAAAAAAGGGAAUUCUUUCUCACUUGACGGUACCCUAGGAAUAAGCACCGGCUAACUCCGUGCCAGCAGCCGCGGUAAUACGGAGGGUGCAAGCGUUAUCCGGAUUCACUGGGUUUAAAGGGAGCGUAGGUGGGCAGGUAAGUCAGUGGUGAAAUCUCCGGGCUUAACCCGGAAACUGCCAUUGAUACUAUUUGUCUUGAAUAUUCUGGAGGUAAGCGGAAUAUGUCAUGUAGCGGUGAAAUGCUUAGAUAUGACAUAGAACACCCAUUGCGAAGGCAGCUUACUACGGAAUUAUUGACACUGAGGCUCGAAAGCGUGGGGAUCAAACAGGAUUAGAUACCCUGGUAGUCCACGCCCUAAACGAUGGAUACUCGACAUACGCGAUACACAGUGUGUGUCUGAGCGAAAGCAUUAAGUAUCCCACCUGGGAAGUACGAUCGCAAGAUUGAAACUCAAAGGAAUUGACGG
This 910-nucleotide ribosomal RNA is filed under the name uncultured bacterium. RNAcentral describes it as "bacterial SSU rRNA". It matches the Rfam family "Bacterial small subunit ribosomal RNA", at positions 8 to 916 of the family's 1533-position model. The record is from RNAcentral.